AGACGGGCCCCAUAUGCAUCUGGAAGAGGGCUGCAACCUCAGGGCUUCCAUAAAAGCAUGGAAUGGAGAUGGGGCUCAGAAGAUUAUCUAACACCCGAAAUUUGUACUUGGAGAUUGGCUUCACGCAGCAGGGAUGAAUGGGGACACUAAGGAAGACUGCAGAGCAGCAGUGGCUGCAGUUUCUAAGCUGCCAUUUGGGGCAAAGUGGCAAAGGAGAAAAUUUUUGCAAUGCUGUGGUUGAGAGUGAAUAUUUAGAACUCAAGGCUGAGGGCGACCUUGGUGGUUGUGUGUGGUUUCUGCACCGUGGGGACAGAUGCCUCAUUUAUGGAUGCAGACUUUGUCCAGCUGGGAAAGGUCUCCCAGGACAGGGAAGUUGAGGAAAUGCUGCAGUCUCCGUUCCUCAUUGGUGAUUUCAAAGUCUACAACCCUGCUCAAUGCUCUGAGAAGUCCUGCAGGAAAGGAACCUGCUUUAGGGUUUUUGACCCUGUGUUUCCCAGAGUUAUUUUGACCUCAGAAUUCUUUUUCCCUCUUCAUAACCCUCAUUUAUACUCUGUGAAAGCCACAUUUCCAACAACCCGCUUGGAAAAUGCUAUCCCAAUGUCCAGAGGAACUGGUUCUCACCCUUAAUGCCUCACGGUGAGCAGUGAUGGGGAUAUUCUGGCAGGACACAUGAUGUGGAAUCCUGCUGUGAUAAUCCAGGAAAUAAAAUUGUGUAUUGUGCCUGUUGGACCCCUUCCC
Molecule: long non-coding RNA, 738 nt
Organism: Leopardus geoffroyi (Geoffroy's cat)
Lineage: Eukaryota; Metazoa; Chordata; Mammalia; Carnivora; Felidae
Exons: 2
Source: RefSeq, a predicted model, not a curated record